UUAUUUUGAAAGUUGAAUUUUAAUUGUGUAAAUUGAUUAUAUUGAUGUUUAAUAAAAGUAAUUUUAUUUGAGAUUGUUUAAGUAUAUUUUUAGAAAAAAUUUUGAUUUUAUAGUGAAGGAGUAUUGUAGGAGAAUGAUGAAAUAAUUGAAAGAAAGAUUAAUUAAAAGUAAAUUUAUGUUGUACCUUGUGUAUCAGGGUUAAUUUAAUUGGCGUUAUAGAUUUAUUCUUCUCGAAUUUGAGAGAGUAAAGAUAUUAAGAAUGUAAAUGUGGUAUAAUUUUAUUUAAUGAUAUUUUGGUAAUGAAAUGUUAUCGUUCUCGAAGAUAUCUAGUUACUUAAGAAAUGAAUUGAAUUCAGGUAUUUGGUGGUGAUGUUUGUUUAUGGAAAUAAACUAUGUUAAUACUAAUUAUUUAGGGGAUUAGCUCUAAAUAAUGAUUAAUAAUGGUAGGGAUAUAUUUGAAAAUGAGACUUUAGAGUAGUUGGGUUUUAAGUGUGUUAUAACUUAUUUAAGUUACAUAUUAUUUAGGGAAAUUUUAAUAAUUUAUUGAGUCGAUUUUAAUAGUAGGUGUAAAAUGUGAUAAUGAUUAAAUUAGUAUAGUUAGGGUUGCAAUAGCAGUAAUUGAUUUCUGAGAAUUUAUAAUGAGGAAUUAGGCAAAUUAUAUGCUCGCCUGUUUAACAAAAACAUGUCCUUUAGGUUAUAUUUAAGGUCUGACCUGCCCACUGAAUAUUUUAAAGGGCCGCGGUAUUUUGACCGUGCAAAGGUAGCAUAAUCAUUAGUUUUUUAAUUGAGGACUGGAAUGAAAGGUUGGACGAGGUAUAGACUGUCUUUAUAUAAAAAAUUGAAUUUAACUUUUUAGUGAAAAGGCUGAAAUGUUUAUAGAGGACGAGAAGACCCUAUAAAGUUUAAUAUUUAUAUGCUAUGAUGAGUUUUAGUAGUGUUUAAAUUUUUGUGUAUAUAUAUAUAUUUGGUUGGGGUGACUAUAAAAAUUGGAAACUUUUAUUUUUGUUUACUUAGAUGAUAGGAUAAAUGAUCCAUUAGUAGUGAUUAAGAGAUUAAAUUACUUUAGGGAUAACAGCGUAAUUUUCUUUGAGAGUUCUUAUCGACAAGAAAGAUUGCGACCUCGAUGUUGAAUUAAGGAAAUUGAUAGGUGUAGUAGUUUAUUAAAUAAGUCUGUUCGACUUUUAAAUCCUUACAUGAUUUGAGUUCAGAUCGGCGUGAGCCAGGUCGGUUUCUAUCCUUAUAAGAGGUAAUAUUUUAGUACGAAAGGACCAAAUAUUUGAUAUAAUAUUUUUUUUUGAAUAGUAUU
RNAcentral lists this ribosomal RNA (1306 nucleotides) under Furcilarnaca armata. RNAcentral describes it as "16S ribosomal RNA". The stretch from base 607 to 1306 matches the Rfam family "Archaeal large subunit ribosomal RNA", at positions 1423 to 2825 of the family's 2987-position model. Lineage: Eukaryota; Metazoa; Arthropoda; Insecta; Orthoptera; Gryllacrididae. The record is from RNAcentral.